RNAcentral lists this transfer RNA (63 nucleotides) under Lepidodermella squamata. RNAcentral's name for it is "tRNA-Phe". Lineage: Eukaryota; Metazoa; Gastrotricha; Chaetonotida; Chaetonotidae. The record is from RNAcentral.
GCUGGUAGAGUCAGUAAUUGAUACGCGGCUGAAAAUCGCGUGGUGCCUUUUGUGCUGCUAGCG